RNAcentral lists this ribosomal RNA (433 nucleotides) under uncultured bacterium. Its description in RNAcentral is "partial 16S ribosomal RNA". It matches the Rfam family "Bacterial small subunit ribosomal RNA", at positions 29 to 507 of the family's 1533-position model. The record is from RNAcentral.
AACGAACGCUGGCGGCAUGCCUAACACAUGCAAGUCGAACGAGACCUUCGGGUCUAGUGGCGCACGGGUGCGUAACGCGUGGGAACCUGCCCUUAGGUUCGGAAUAACUCCCCGAAAGGGGUGCUAAUACCGGAUAAUGUCUUCGGACCAAAGAUUUAUCGCCUUUGGAUGGGCCCGCGUUGGAUUAGCUGGUUGGUAGGGUAAAAGCCUACCAAGGCGAGGUUCCUUAGCUGGUCUGAGAGGAGGAUCAGCCACACUGGGACUGAGACACGGCCCAGACUCCUACGGGAGGCAGCAGUGGGGAAUAUUGGACAAUGGGCGAAAGCCUGAUCCAGCAAUGCCGCGUGAGUGAUGAAGGCCGUAGGGUUGUAAAGCUCUUUUACACGGGAUGAUAAUGACAGUACCGGGAGAAUAAGCACCGGCUAACUCCGUG